GGGGGGUGCAAGCGUUAUUCGGAAUCAUAGGGCGUAAAGGGCGCGUAGGCGGUCUCUUAAGUCAGGUGUGAAAGCCUUCCGCUUAACGGAAGAAGUGCACUUGAAACUAAGGGACUUGAGUAUGGGAGAGGGAAGUGGAAUUCCUGGUGUGGCGGUGAAAUGCGUAGAUAUCAGGAGGAACACCGGUGGCGAAGGCGACUUCCUGGACCAAUACUGACGCUGAGGCGCGAAGGCGUGGGGAGCAAACAGGAUUAGAUACCCUGGUAGUCCACGCAGUAAACGGUGAACACUAGGUGUAGUGGGUAUUGACCCCCCUGCUGUGCCGCAGUUAACGCGUUAAGUGUUCCGCCUGGGGAGUACGGCCGCAAGGCUA
RNAcentral lists this ribosomal RNA (373 nucleotides) under uncultured organism. RNAcentral's name for it is "partial 16S ribosomal RNA". It matches the Rfam family "Bacterial small subunit ribosomal RNA", at positions 527 to 896 of the family's 1533-position model. The record is from RNAcentral.